Molecule: ribosomal RNA, 253 nt
Filed under: uncultured bacterium
Lineage: Bacteria
Description: partial 16S ribosomal RNA
Rfam family: Bacterial small subunit ribosomal RNA
Source: RNAcentral
UACGGAGGGUGCAAGCGUUAAUCGGAAUUACUGGGCGUAAAGCGCACGCAGGCGGUCUGUCAAGUCGGAUGUGAAAUCCCCGGGCUCAACCUGGGAACUGCAUUCGAAACUGGCAGGCUAGAGUCUUGUAGAGGGGGGUAGAAUUCCAGGUGUAGCGGUGAAAUGCGUAGAGAUCGGGAGGAACACCAGUGGCGAAGGCGGCCGGCUGGGGGUGCCCUGACGCUGAGGCGCGAAAGCGUGGGGAGCGAACCGG